Molecule: long non-coding RNA, 356 nt
Organism: Daphnia pulex (common water flea)
Lineage: Eukaryota; Metazoa; Arthropoda; Branchiopoda; Diplostraca; Daphniidae
Exons: 3
Source: RefSeq, a predicted model, not a curated record
UGCUUAGCGGCCAUUUUGUUCCAAGACGCAGUUGAAGUAGGUUGUCGGCUGUCACGCUCCUCACGAUGAAAAUUAAAAGGUGUAGCACGUUGAAACUAAUUUGCCACAUCAUUCAACUCAGACUUGGAAGUGGCCUGUACAUUUCCGAAAUGGCGUGCCUCGUGUGUCUCGCUGCCUCUUCUUAGGCGUACGUCUCAUCUCAUGCAACAGAAACAAGUAUACCAAACACUUCUUUAACGCUGGUGGUUACCUUGUUGCAGCCAAAUGGUGAAAGGUGUGACGAAGACAGAUUGAGCCUUUGUAUGCAGCAUGCAGUUGCAGUGUAAUCCAGGAGUUGCUGUGCUGUUGUAGCUGAG